CGGCGGACGGGUGAGUAACACGUGGAUAACCUACCUAUAAGACUGGGAUAACUUCGGGAAACCGGAGCUAAUACCGGAUAAUAUAUUGAACCGCAUGGUUCAAUAGUGAAAGACGGUUUUGCUGUCACUUAUAGAUGGAUCCGCGCCGCAUUAGCUAGUUGGUAAGGUAACGGCUUACAAGGCGACGAUGCGUAGCCGACCUGAGAGGGUGAUCGGCCACACUGGAACUGAGACACGGUCCAG
This 243-nucleotide ribosomal RNA is filed under the name uncultured Staphylococcus sp. RNAcentral's name for it is "partial 16S ribosomal RNA". It matches the Rfam family "Bacterial small subunit ribosomal RNA", at positions 96 to 334 of the family's 1533-position model. Lineage: Bacteria; Bacillati; Bacillota; Bacilli; Caryophanales; Staphylococcaceae. The record is from RNAcentral.